This 359-nucleotide ribosomal RNA is filed under the name Buthus occitanus occitanus. RNAcentral describes it as "partial 16S ribosomal RNA". The record is from RNAcentral. Lineage: Eukaryota; Metazoa; Arthropoda; Arachnida; Scorpiones; Buthidae.
UCCUUUCUAAACUUUUGCGUAAAGAAGGUAUUUUAAUUCAACAUCGAGGUCAUAAACUCACUUGUCAAUUUGAUCUUUCUAAGUGAAUUAAGCUGUUAUCCCUAAAGUAACUUAUUUCUUUUUUAGAAUUUCUAGGUAUUAAAACCAGUAUGUUUUUUUCUUUAAGAAAAGAAUUUUUUCUCACCGCCCCAGUGAAAUACUUCUUCUUCUAAAUAAUUAAAGAAAAAGUAUAAAGUUUUAUAGGGUCUUCUUGUCUAAAAGAGGUAUUUUAGCCUUUUUACUAAAAAGUAAAUUUCAUCUUCUUAGAUAGAAAGAAAUUCUCUUGGUUUACUCCUUCAUUCCAGUCUCAAAUUAAAAGA